This 253-nucleotide ribosomal RNA is filed under the name uncultured bacterium. Its description in RNAcentral is "partial 16S ribosomal RNA". It matches the Rfam family "Bacterial small subunit ribosomal RNA", at positions 524 to 776 of the family's 1533-position model. The record is from RNAcentral.
UACGAAGGGGGCUAGCGUUGUUCGGAAUUACUGGGCGUAAAGCGCACGUAGGCGGAUUAGUAAGUCAGGGGUGAAAUCCCGGGGCUCAACCUCGGAACUGCCUUUGAUACUGCUGAUCUCGAGUCCGGAAGAGGUGAGUGGAAUUCCUAGUGUAGAGGUGAAAUUCGUAGAUAUUAGGAAGAACACCAGUGGCGAAGGCGGCUCACUGGUCCGGUACUGACGCUGAGGUGCGAAAGCGUGGGGAGCAAACAGG